Molecule: long non-coding RNA, 414 nt
Organism: Engraulis encrasicolus (European anchovy)
Lineage: Eukaryota; Metazoa; Chordata; Actinopteri; Clupeiformes; Engraulidae
Exons: 3
Source: RefSeq, a predicted model, not a curated record
CGCCAAAGGUCUUUCUACCAGCAAAACAAAAUAGCAGGACAGAAGUGACAGCGUCAGAAACAAAACAUUGCUGUUCCGAUUGCUGAUGGAGACAACAGAGAAAGACAGGAGAAGGUCAAGACUCAAGAGCUGGACUUUCCAUGACGUCCUCACUCGACCCCUGUGAAUAGCAGCCCACCGUUGACCAGCCAUCAGUAUCUACUGUGCAGUCAUUUCCUGACCCGGUUUCUCACUAGCCCUUCGCAGACGAACACUACCACCUGAAGACGGUCGUCUGGAUAAUACUUCGGUUUGGCACCGGCAUGGUCUACCACAAAGAUAGACGCCAGACCUUCUGAAAGGACCUAAUGGACUGAGUGCUGGAAAGGAGACAACCCCUCUAUAGAAUAAACUGACUGUAACAAACACUCCACC